CAGCCGCCGCGGUAAUACGUAGGGUGCGAGCGUUAGUCGGAAUUACUGGGCGUAAAGCGUGCGCAGGCGGUUUUGUAAGACAGGCGUGAAAUCCCCGGGCUCAACCUGGGAAUGGCGCUUGUGACUGCAAAGCUAGAGUGCGGCAGAGGGGGAUGGAAUUCCGCGUGUAGCAGUGAAAUGCGUAGAUAUGCGGAGGAACACCGAUGGCGAAGGCAAUCCCCUGGGCCUGCACUGACGCUCAUGCACGAAAGCGUGGGGAGCAAACAGGAUUAGAUACCCGUGUAGUCCCUGUCUCUUAUAC
Molecule: ribosomal RNA, 301 nt
Filed under: uncultured bacterium
Lineage: Bacteria
Description: partial 16S ribosomal RNA
Rfam family: Bacterial small subunit ribosomal RNA
Source: RNAcentral